Pelobates cultripes (western spadefoot toad) is the source of this 741-nucleotide non-coding RNA. The record is from the annotation of a GenBank genome assembly. NCBI's taxonomy places the organism in Eukaryota, Metazoa, Chordata, Amphibia, Anura, Pelobatidae.
AAUUAGAAUGUGUGUAAUGGAUGUAGUGUUUGUGUGUAUUAGAUACGGUUUGUGCAGUGAAUGCAGAGUGUGGGUUUGUGUAGCGGAUGCAGUAUGUUUAGUGAACACAGAGUGUGUUUGAGUAGUGGAUGUAGUGUGUGUACAGUGAUGUAGUGUUUGUAUUAGACGCAGUGUCUCUGUAUAGUGAACGCAGAGUGUUUGAAUGUGUGGUGGAUGUGGUAUGUGUACUGUGAAUACAGGAUGUUUGUGUAGUGGAUGUUGUGUGUAAAGUUAAUGUAAAGUGUAUGUUAUUGUAGUGAAUGCUGAGUGUGUGUCAGUGUAGUGAAUGCAGACUGUGUGGUAGUGUAGUGAAUGCAGAGUGUGUGUCAGUGUGGUGAAUGCAGUGUGUUAGUGUAGUGAAUGCAGUGUGUGUAUCAGUGUAGUGGAUGCAGUGUGUUAGUGUAGUGAAUGCAGAGUGUGUGUCAGUAUAGUGAAUGCAGUGUGUUAGUGUAGUGAAUGCAGUGUGUGUUAGUGUAAUGAAUGCAGAGUGUGUGUUAGUGUAAUGAAUGGAGAGUGUGUUAGUGUGUAAUGAAUGCAGAGUGUGUGUUAGUGUAGUGAAUGCAGAGUGAGUGUUAGUGUAAUGAAUGCAGUGUGUGUUAGUGCAGUGAAUGCAGAGUGUGUGUUAGUGUAAUGCAUGCAGUGCAUGUGUUAAUGUGUAAUGAAUGCAGAGUGUGUUAGUGUACGUGGUGUAAUUGUGUGCUU